AUUGAACGCUGGCGGCAGGCCUAACACAUGCAAGUCGGACGGUAGCACAGAGAGCUUGCUCUUGGGUGACGAGUGGCGGACGGGUGAGUAAUGUCUGGGGAUCUGCCCGAUAGAGGGGGAUAACCACUGGAAACGGUGGCUAAUACCGCAUAACGUCGCAAGACCAAAGAGGGGGACCUUCGGGCCUCUCACUAUCGGAUGAACCCAGAUGGGAUUAGCUAGUAGGCGGGGUAAUGGCCCACCUAGGCGACGAUCCCUAGCUGGUCUGAGAGGAUGACCGGCCACACUGGAACUGGGACACGGUCCAGACUCCUACGGGAGGCAGCAGUGGGGAAUAUUGCACAAUGGGCGCAAGCCUGAUGCAGCCAUGCCGCGUGUAUGAAGAAGGCCUUCGGGUUGUAAAGUACUUUCAGCGGGGAGGAAGGCGAUGCGGUUAAUAACCGCGUCGAUUGACGUUACCCGCAGAAGAAGCACCGGCUAACUCCGUGCCAGCAGCCGCGGUAA
RNAcentral lists this ribosomal RNA (504 nucleotides) under uncultured bacterium. RNAcentral describes it as "partial 16S ribosomal RNA". It matches the Rfam family "Bacterial small subunit ribosomal RNA", at positions 29 to 523 of the family's 1533-position model. The record is from RNAcentral.